GGGGCUGGGGGCGGGGCCUGGCCUCGUUGUGGAACGACUCGUAAUCCAUCAUGGCGGCCGCGGGGGUCGGUGUCCGUCCCUGAGCAGCGCUGGAGCCGGAGCCGGUUCCCGGGUCUGGCGGCUGAGGAGCGCCUCCGUUGUCCACGGCGCCUACCUGCAGGGGGAGGCUCGGUCCCGCUGUGGAGCUCUGCGGAUGUGACUGCCGGGCGGUGGCGGCCGUGGCAACGUCCGGGGCCAGGAGAGGGGGUGUCUUGGGAGAGACCCUCGGGCUCGGGGCAGCCGAGGCGGCCGGGCCUCCUGCCCCCUCCGCCUGCCUCCCGCCUCCGGGUCGCGAGAGCCCACCGUCCCUUACAGCCCUGCCUGGCUGUGAGACAUUGGGGGUGGUCUCUGUUCCCCCAGACCUGGGACACGCCGUUUCCUGAGGCGUAGAGGAGCGUCGCCCCUGAGUAAGCCGCCAGUGCCCCCCGCCCCCCGCCCCGGCAGCCUCCCUCUUAGCCCCGAGCCGCCCCUUGCUCCGACUCCCGGCACCCAGUUUGGCCUCGGAGUCCCCCCAUUCAAAUCCCUUCCCUGUGGUCAAGUGGCCUCCCCUUCCCCCCCAGUUGCUCCCGCGAGCCGCUAAUGCCCUGACUUCUCCCAAUGUCACCCAAGGCCCCCUUGGUCUCAGCCCAAACAAAAACUUUAAUGCAAAGGAAAAGUCUGGACUGGUUUCACAGGCCUUUUAAAAAGCGGAUCUGAAAGUUGCUGGCAAUGCAUUCCUUCUCGUCAGAGUCGAGGGCAAGCUCUCGCUGAAGCCUCGGUGACCCGUGUCCUUUUCCGGACAGCGUGGUAGAGAAGCGGGAGCUGCGGCUAGUUCGGCAGGAAAUUUGUCGGAAGAUGAAGAAACUAAGAUAGGAGUGGGUGACUUCCACAGGAAAAGUUCUGGAGAAGCAUCCAAAGAUGAUCAACCUUUUCCUUUAUGUAUGGGCAUCGAAAGGACUUGAGUCCGUUUAGUUUUUUCUUCUUGGAAAGAAAGAGACUUAAUUCAACCAGUGAAAAACACUUACACCCAAGAAACUUGAGUAGCACUGUAGUAAGUUCAAAUUGAUAAACUGCGAAAAUAAGUGGAACUCUUGUUUACACGUGUCAACGUGAAAACUGCUUCCUUUUGCUAUGGAAGGUGUCUUUUUGUGAUUGACCUCAAUUACGGACUUUUUGAGAUGCAGUGAAUGUGAAAUCCCACCUAUAUACUGUUUCCUUCUGGAAGAUCUUGAACCCUCUCUGGAAAGGGGUGCCUAUCCUUACUUUAUGGGGCAGCAGCCAGGAAAAGUUCUUGGGGACCAAAGACGGCCGAGUUUGCCUGCCCUGCACUUUAUCAAAGGAGCAGGGAAGAAGGAAUCAUCACGGCACGGGGGGCCCCACUGCAAUGUGUUUGUGGAACAUGAAGCUCUUCAGAGGCCAGUAGCGUCUGACUUUGAGCCCCAAGGUCUGAGCGAAGCAGCUCGUUGGAACUCCAAGGAAAACCUCCUUGCUGGUCCCAGUGAAAAUGACCCCAACCUUUUCGUUGCACUCUAUGAUUUUGUGGCCAGUGGGGAUAACACUCUGAGCAUAACUAAAGGUGAAAAGCUCCGGGUCUUAGGCUACAAUCACAAUGGAGAAUGGUGUGAAGCCCAAACCAAGAAUGGCCAAGGGUGGGUGCCAAGCAACUACAUCACACCUGUCAACAGUCUGGAGAAGCAUUCCUGGUACCACGGGCCGGUGUCCCGCAACGCCGCCGAGUACCUGCUGAGCAGCGGGAUCAACGGCAGCUUCUUGGUCCGGGAGAGUGAGAGCAGUCCUGGCCAGAGGUCCAUCUCGCUGAGAUACGAAGGGAGAGUGUACCACUACAGGAUCAACACUGCUUCUGACGGCAAGCUCUACGUGUCCUCAGAGAGCCGCUUCAGCACCCUGGCCGAGCUGGUCCACCACCACUCGACCGUGGCGGACGGGCUCAUCACCACACUGCAUUACCCAGCCCCCAAGCGCAACAAGCCCACCGUCUACGGCGUGUCCCCCGACUACGACAAGUGGGAGAUGGAGCGCACGGACAUCACCAUGAAGCACAAGCUGGGCGGCGGCCAGUACGGGGAGGUGUACGAGGGCGUGUGGAAGAAGUACAGCCUCACGGUGGCCGUGAAGACCUUAAAGGAGGACACCAUGGAGGUAGAAGAGUUCCUGAAGGAAGCUGCGGUGAUGAAAGAGAUCAAGCACCCUAACCUAGUACAAUUACUUGGAGUCUGCACCCGGGAGCCCCCGUUCUAUAUAAUCACUGAGUUCAUGACCUAUGGGAACCUGUUGGAUUACCUGAGAGAGUGUAACCGGCAGGAGGUGAAUGCCGUGGUGCUGCUGUACAUGGCCACUCAGAUCUCGUCGGCCAUGGAGUACCUGGAGAAGAAAAACUUCAUCCACAGAGAUCUUGCUGCACGAAACUGCCUGGUAGGGGAAAACCACUUGGUGAAGGUGGCUGAUUUCGGCCUGAGCAGGUUGAUGACGGGGGACACCUACACCGCCCACGCCGGGGCCAAGUUCCCCAUCAAAUGGACAGCGCCCGAGAGCCUGGCCUACAACAAGUUCUCCAUCAAGUCCGACGUCUGGGCAUUUGGAGUAUUGCUUUGGGAAAUUGCUACCUACGGCAUGUCACCUUACCCGGGAAUCGACCUGUCCCAGGUGUAUGAGCUGCUAGAGAAGGACUAUCGCAUGGAGCGCCCGGAAGGCUGCCCGGAGAAGGUCUAUGGACUCAUGCGAGCAUGUUGGCAGUGGAAUCCCUCUGACCGGCCCUCCUUUGCUGAGAUCCACCAAGCCUUUGAAACAAUGUUCCAGGAAUCCAGCAUAUCAGAUGAAGUGGAAAAGGAACUGGGGAAGAAAGGCAUGCGAGUCGUUGGAAGUACUUUGCUGCAGGCCCCGGAGCUGCCCACCAAAACCAGAACCUCCAGGAGAGCUACAGAACACAGAGACUCCACUGACGUGCCUGACACACCGCACUCCAAGGGCCCCGGAGAGACUGAACCAUGCUCUGGACCCAGUGGAACGUAGUCACUCACAGCUGCACUUUGGAUGUCAGCUACAGAUGUCCCUGUGGAGACGCAAAACUUUGAUUACCCCGCUGUAAUCACUCAGCCCACCUACCCAGCCAGCCGCCUAUUCAUAUUCACGGCCCAGCAACGGGGCCAGGGGCUGCUGAGAAACCAGACCACCCGGGAAGGGGAUGCAGGGCUGCGGGCUGCCGGUGAGCGCCACGAGCCGCGGUGCUUCCUUCUCUGAACAGAGACAGCUUGCGUUUGGUCAGCUUUUUGACACCAUCUGGGAUUUGCUUCAGCCAAGUUGGAAAUCAAAAACAAGAAAACCAUCAGCAAGCCCAAGAGACUGUGCCUAGGCCACAGCGAGAGAGUGAAGCUCUGGGAUUCACGAUUCAAAGGGCCAGACGGCGUCUGAGUGCCGGCCCUGUGGGCAGUGCUUUCCGCCCAUAUCUGAUAUCAUCCUUGCAAUCCUCUUACCGGAGGGCAUCAUCUCGUCCCCUGUCACUGAGGAGGCAACAGGUUCGAACAGGCGACUUGCCCAAGAUCGCACAGCCUUGUAAGGGACAAAGCUGGGAUGCAAGCCCACGUCUGAUCGGGCUUGACUCAGGAAUCGCUACCCUACACCAAGGAUGGCAGUCUGGAGGGGACCUGAGACAGAAGGUUCCCCAGAGUGCCUGGCCUCGGCAGUAAUGGCUCGUCCCUCGCAGAGGAAGCCUUUUUGGUGACGACCAUGUGAGUCAGAGCUGGCUGGCCCUCUGCGGAGUAGAACUGAGGCUGGGAUAAAGAGAGCUGGUUCCGGAGAAGCCAGCACCGAGUCCCUAGAGCUCUCUGCAGAAAUGGCUCCCUUGAAGAGACGUCAAAGUGAACUCGGCCAGAAAGCUUGGAAGGAGUCAUAAAGGCAGAUCUCCUCCCUACCCAAUCCAGCCCCCCUAAGCUACCCUGAUCCCCUGGGCCUGGGCAGGGUGGGGGGGUUUCUUCCCAGGUGGUUUCCUCCCCACAGGAAGCGCUGCCCACAGCAGUAAUGGCUGGGACCAGGGAGGGUUCCACCUGGUGGAUGAGUCCCCCUGUGGUGGCCUCUGUGUCCUGAGAAAGGGGGCAUCUUGCUGCACUGAAGCAGGUGGUCUGUCUCCCAUUUUGUGGGGGUCAUGGACCUCCUGAAGAACCUGGUGGGAGCUUGGGGCAUUCGCCACUGAAAAUUUGGCCCCUGCACAAGUUAGGGCUUCAGGCCCCAACACCCAGAAGGUGGCAGGAAAAGCACAGGAUGGAAGCCCAGGGGCUGUGCCCCUGAGGGCAGCUGUGGGCUGCCUGUGCCCACUCCUGACCUGGAGGAGGGCCUGAGCGGGGCUCCUGCUGGGCAUGCAGUGACUGUACUCACCCUGCUGUGGGCCUGCUCCCCAGGAGGGCUGCUGGACCCUGGCCGGCUGGGCAGAGCUCCGCUGGUUCCCAUUCAGGUGUGUGGCUCCCGGGUUCACCCUGCUUUAUAAAGGGCCCCUGGGUGCACUUGCCACCAUGCGGUCUGAUUGCCACACAUUCCUGACCCUGGGAUUCCAUUGGGGACGCUGGUAGUGAAGGAAGGGACGGCUGAAUUGAUAAAGCCCCAACACACACAGGAUGUGCCUGCCCUUUGCCCACCCUGUUUGGGGGAGAGCGGGAGGCAUGACUAAAUCAGAGUGGCAGGCCGGAGCUCUUGAGCCCCUUGGAGGGGGCGGCCCUGCCUCUCUCUGGCCUCGUGAGCCUCCCACCAGCCAGCACGGUCUCCUCAUGGGCUCAGAAAGUCAACGCCCGUGAGGCCAGUGACUGCCUUUCAGUUGAGUUAGGCGAGCAGUUGUGUCCAGGGCCCUGGCUCCCUGCUUGGAAGCUUUGAGAGGCGUCUGGCACCAAGGCUGAGCAGGGCAGCAGAACCGGACGCCUGUUUCCUGCACAAGGGUGUGUGCGAGGGGCUCGUGAGGCCCCCCCUCGAGCCCCGGGCCCCCGAACCACAACUGGUUUGUUCCACAGAAGGGCAACUCAAUGUUUACCACUAGCCCAGCUCCAGCGCCUGGCUCAGUGCCUGACGCCCAUUCACAAAAGGGCAGACAGAAGGGUGGGUGUUUUCAAAACUAGGCUGGCUCUUCACUGGGUGGCCGGGGAGCCUUGCUUUCUGAACCUCCAGUGAGGGUAGUCACGCCACCUCUCCGGCCAUGGUGAUGGGUCAGGAAAGGAGGCUGUCAGCCCAGCGUGGGACUGAGCAGGGCUUGAUGACGGGUGUUCUGGCCAUUGUUCCAGUUCACCCACGGUGGAGGACAUGAGCGUUUGUCACUCCCCGGCCCUUGCUUCUGGGUGGUGUGUCCCCAGCUGAGCUUGUGAACAAGACGAGGGAACGCCAAGUGCUGUCCUCUGCAUCGCCACACUGAACUGAGGGGUUGGAGGGGUUGCUUUGUGCACCCACAGGCCUUUGCAGGAUCCACUCUGACCCAGGCAUGGCCACCGGCCAGUCAUGUUGUUCACGUCUCAGAGUGCUCACUGCAUGCUUAUUCCCUGCAAAAUCUGACAUGUCCCUCCGCCUGCCCUGUGUGCGAUCACAGAGCACCCCUAGGGUCUGUGCACCUAAGCCGGGACGUGGCUCCCUGUUGGGCGGGAUACUCUGCAGCGAUCUCCAGGCAUUGGCCAAGGGGGAAGGCCGGCACCCAACAUAUGGGGAGGCGUUGGCCUGCGGGUCUGGUCCCCGCCCGCCACCACCUGGUCCAGUGCGUACAGUCCCAGGAGCUCCUCCCCUGCCCCUCCCCUUAUCCUGUCCCACUGCCUAUUCCCAAUGACCCCUGUACCCCAUCUGAGGAGCACCUGGGGGGAGACCAACAGCAGGUGUCCUGACAGCCCAGCCAUGACUCCAGCCUCUGCCACUCGCCUGGCCUGGAUUUUCCCUCCACUGAGAGCAAGCAAGGGAGUGGGUGCUUCGUGAGGCUGGGCCACCCUGCAUGGUCUCGGGGUAGCUGCUCAGGCCAGGCUGUGGACCUAUUACCCCUGCCUGUGGAAUACUAGGGGUGUGGAGAAGCCCACCACGGGGCCCCUACCCACACGGGAAUUGAGCCAGCCUGGCAGAUGCUUCCCUGGUGCCAGUACCCUGAGGAAGGGGCUGGAAUCUUUCCCCCCCACAGUGGAGGGGGCUCUGAGGCCCGCAGGGUCAGGGUGCUUGUCGGUGUGGGGGCAGGCUCUGCCCCGUCCUCUGCUCUCCAGCCCCGCUGCAGCGGGAAGCAGCGGGAAGCCUUGGCUCCCCUUGGCCUUGACUGCAGAGAAUGGGGUCAAGAAAAGGCAGGCGACCAUGGGCUGACUUUGGGCCCUUUGGCAGGGUGCCCUCUGUCCUCCCCUUGGCAAGGAUGAGGGCUUCAUGGGCAGGCAUGGGCAGAGGGUGCACCCAAUGCCAAUAGGGGCAGGUGCAGAGCAGCUUCCACCACCAAGGCCAGGCCUGCCUCUGAAGGGCUGGUGUGUGUGCACACAUGUACGUGCAUGUGCACAGGAGAUGGGAGGUGUGUCAUUUAUAUCCCUCGUCAGUGCUGCUCUGUUGUGACACUGGGUGCUGGUCAAUGAUGGGGUGCAGCCUGCAGUCGUUAAUACGCUGUGCGGCUUUAGGCCACAUGCUUGCCCUUUCUGUGCCUCAGCUCCCUCUGGUGUCAAAUGAGACACUUCUGGGCUCUGCCCUGUGAAAUUCCUCAGGGUAGGCUGCGGGGAACUGGGAGAGCAGGUGUGAGGUCGGUCCCUGAGGGCCUCCCAAGAGAGAAGCUCCGCUUAGCUGGCCGACACAUUGGGCUCCAAGAAAAUGUUUGGCUCUGAAUACCACCGCUGGCCCAGGUCCCUUCCAGGGGGGACUCCCAGCUCUGAGAAGCGGCCACAGAAAGUCUGAGUGUUGGGCAUGGCUUUGGGGUGGGGGCAAGGUUGGGGUGAGAGUGAGGAGGCCCCCAUGUGCCCACAGAUCCCUCAGCCCACCCUGCCCCCUCCCUCGGGUAGAGGUGCCUGGAGCCAAAUGGUGGAUUUGGUGCUGAAUUUCCCAAGUCUGAAGGCUCGCCAGGUGCCCCCAGGAACACCUGGCCCAGAUUGUUUAUGAACACACUCCUGGGGCUCCUUGAAGCCUCUGGGCUCUCUCCAGGGGAUGAGCCCCCACUCUCGAGCACUUGUGGGGGGUGACAACUGGGACUGUUUCUGCCACUGGGGCCACCAACAGCAGCGAUGGGCCAGGGCCCCAGGGAAGGUCAGGGAUGGCCCAGGCUGGGUCACCGGAGGGUCUCCUCCCCGCACAGAGGUUGUCAGGCCUUUAGGGUCAAUGCUGGGAGGCUGGAGCUUUGGGGCAGGGGACCCGGAGGAGCCUGCUUUCUUCCAGCCCAAGUGAAGUUCCCUGAGAAGCAGUCCUGGAGGAGUGUCAGGGCCACAUCCCAGGACGUCCAAGCUGGCCAGCAGCCCGGGCUCCUCAGCUUCGCUGUCCUUCUCCAGGUGUGGAGCUGAGACUCAGUGAGGACAGGGCCUACUGGGUGGCAGCCUGGCUGUGCCAAGCCCAGGCCCCUGACUUGGCUCCCAGCCCCCUCCUCUGCCCUCCAGCCACACACCAGCCCUAAGGACUGGGUUCCAUGCCUGCUCAGCCACAUACCAGCUGGGGCCUUGGGCAAGUCACAUCACUUCCUGCACCGGUUUCUCCACCUGCCUGGGACAGCAGCAGUGCUCACAUCGUUGGGGGCAGGAGCCACUGGGUGAAAGGCAGGCUGUGUCACUGCAGCUCCCGCCCAGAGUAGCUGCUGCUGGCGUCCGGGAGAGCCCAGAUGGUGCCCUCUGUGAGCAGGGCUCCCGGGGCCUGCCUUCCCAGAGCCCUGGCACUGCUGGCCGAGCCCCUCCUGCUGUGUGGGUCACCUUCCGGGCCAUAUGAUGCACUGUUUGUGACUGAAAGGCACGUAGUCUGUCAGCUGUAGAACUUGUGACCGACCCCGCGGAAUCUUCCCAGUCAGCCCCAGCAGUUGAGCCAGGGAAGCUUCCUGCCAGGGGAGCUGCCGUCGGGGAGGUUUGGUGACUGUGGGAGAGGCGCCGAGUGGAGCAAGGCCCCCACUGGGAUGGCUGUGGCCCACGGGGCUGCAGGAGGCCAUGAUCACCUUAGAGAUGUCCCAUGGCCUGGCCCAGGGGCCCACUCCCCAGGCCUCCCCCAGGGCCCGACACACUGCCAUGCCCUAGGACAGUGGAGGGGCAUAGAUCUGUGAAUGGCCCAGGAACCCAGCACGCAGCCACAGACUCCCUGGGCCACACAGCUGGGCGCCCAGACACCCUCCAGCCACCCCUGCAGGUGACUGAGGUGGGGCUCCAGCACACAGCUGGUCUCCAAUGCAGGCGAUAAAUACUGGAUUCCAUUAAGUAAA
Molecule: RNA transcript, 8401 nt
Organism: Manis javanica (Malayan pangolin)
Lineage: Eukaryota; Metazoa; Chordata; Mammalia; Pholidota; Manidae
Gene: ABL1
Gene name: ABL proto-oncogene 1, non-receptor tyrosine kinase
Source: RefSeq, a predicted model, not a curated record